UCGAUUCCCUUAGUAGCGGCGAGCGAAACGGGAAGAGCCCAAACCAACAAGCUUGCUUGUUGGGGUUGUAGGACACUCUAUACGGAGUUACAAAGGACGACAUUAGACGAAUCAUCUGGAAAGAUGAAUCAAAGAAGGUAAUAAUCCUGUAGUCGAAAAUGUUGUCUCUCUUGAGUGGAUCCUGAGUACGACGGAGCACGUGAAAUUCCGUCGGAAUCUGGGAGGACCAUCUCCUAAGGCUAAAUACUCUCUAGUGACCGAUAGUGAACCAGUACCGUGAGGGAAAGGUGAAAAGCACCCCGGAAGGGGAGUGAAAUAGAACCUGAAACCGUGUGCUUACAAGUAGUCAGAGCCCGUUAAUGGGUGAUGGCGUGCCUUUUGUAGAAUGAACCGGCGAGUUACGAUUUGAUGCAAGGUUAAGCAGUAAAUGUGGAGCCGUAGCGAAAGCGAGUCUGAAUAGGGCGUUUAGUAUUUGGUCGUAGACCCGAAACCAGGUGAUCUACCCUUGGUCAGGUUGAAGUUCAGGUAACACUGAAUGGAGGACCGAACCGACUUACGUUGAAAAGUGAGCGGAUGAACUGAGGGUAGCGGAGAAAUUCCAAUCGAACCUGGAGAUAGCUGGUUCUCUCCGAAAUAGCUUUAGGGCUAGCCUCAAGUGAUGAUUAUUGGAGGUAGAGCACUGUUUGGACGAGGGGCCCCUCUCGGGUUACCGAAUUCAGACAAACUCCGAAUGCCAAUUAAUUUAACUUGGGAGUCAGAACAUGGGUGAUAAGGUCCGUGUUCGAAAGGGAAACAGCCCAGACCACCAGCUAAGGUCCCAAAAUAUAUGUUAAGUGGAAAAGGAUGUGGCGUUGCCCAGACAACUAGGAUGUUGGCUUAGAAGCAGCCAUCAUUUAAAGAGUGCGUAAUAGCUCACUAGUCGAGUGACACUGCGCCGAAAAUGUACCGGGGCUAAACAUAUUACCGAAGCUGUGGAUUGUCCUUUGGACAAUGGUAGGAGAGCGUUCUAAGGGCGUUGAAGCAUGAUCGUAAGGACAUGUGGAGCGCUUAGAAGUGAGAAUGCCGGUGUGAGUAGCGAAAGACGGGUGAGAAUCCCGUCCACCGAUUGACUAAGGUUUCCAGAGGAAGGCUCGUCCGCUCUGGGUUAGUCGGGUCCUAAGCUGAGGCCGACAGGCGUAGGCGAUGGAUAACAGGUUGAUAUUCCUGUACCACCUAUAAUCGUUUUAAUCGAUGGGGGGACGCAGUAGGAUAGGCGAAGCGUGCGAUUGGAUUGCACGUCUAAGCAGUAAGGCUGAGUAUUAGGCAAAUCCGGUACUCGUUAAGGCUGAGCUGUGAUGGGGAGAAGACAUUGUGUCUUCGAGUCGUUGAUUUCACACUGCCGAGAAAAGCCUCUAGAUAGAAAAUAGGUGCCCGUACCGCAAACCGACACAGGUAGUCAAGAU
RNAcentral lists this ribosomal RNA (1442 nucleotides) under Staphylococcus aureus. RNAcentral describes it as "partial 23S ribosomal RNA". It matches the Rfam family "Bacterial large subunit ribosomal RNA", at positions 231 to 1673 of the family's 2925-position model. The record is from RNAcentral. Lineage: Bacteria; Bacillati; Bacillota; Bacilli; Caryophanales; Staphylococcaceae.